Molecule: ribosomal RNA, 264 nt
Filed under: uncultured archaeon
Lineage: Archaea
Description: partial 16S ribosomal RNA
Rfam family: Archaeal small subunit ribosomal RNA
Source: RNAcentral
AGACGUCUACAUUAGAUACCCCCGUAGUCCCAGCCGUAAACUAUGCGCGUUAGGUGUAUCGGUGACCACGAGUCACCGAGGUGCCGAAGGGAAACCGUGAAACGUGCCGCCUGGGAAGUACGGUCGCAAGGCUGAAACUUAAAGGAAUUGGCGGGGAGCACCACAACAGGUGGAGCCUGCGGUUUAAUUGGACUCAACGCCGGGAAGCUCACCGGAUAAGACAGCGGAAUGAUUGCCGGGCUGAAGACUCUGCAUGACUAGCUG